Long non-coding RNA from Clupea harengus (Atlantic herring), 1296 nucleotides. The record is from Ensembl. NCBI's taxonomy places the organism in Eukaryota, Metazoa, Chordata, Actinopteri, Clupeiformes, Clupeidae.
GCCCAGUUGAAUAGAAAUGAUAUCUUAUCAGGUCCAGCCUGAAGGAGAGGGCUGUUAGCACUAAAAACAUGCCCCUUCCUUCCUUCUCACCUGAUUAAAUGCCCUCGGGUUUGGCCAAUGUUUUUCUUUUUUUUUUCUUCUCUUUUUCCCGUUUGCUCACUCUCCUGUUUUUCAUUAGCGUUGAAGCCUUCCAUUUGUUAUUAGUUUUUUAAACUAAUUGUGUCCUUGAAAAAGCCUUUCCAUCUGUCUGGCAAAACAAAACAUAACAAUUAGCCUUAAGAAAACCUCACAACCAUUUUUUUUGGCAGAGGUUUAUUAGUAUUUAAGAUUCUCUGAUGAAUAUUUUAGAGAUUUUAGACAUAGGUACCAGUCAUUAUUUAUAUUCUUUAUUCUUUCUGUUAUUUAAACAAAAAUAAACUAACAAACAUACAACUUCGUGUGUGUAUGCUGAGAAGGAAAGAGAGAAAUAGAAAUACAGAAUAUGGAAUAUCCAUUUACACCAAAGUUCACAACACACACAAGGCCACUGCACAACAGCCAGAAGGGGUCAAAGUUCACGUCCUCCACAGCCACCACCAACCAACCAGCAUGUCAAACAGAACUACAACACCCACGAGCUACCAGAGAGAGCCAUCUCCACGGCAACACCAAUCGCAAAACAAAAACCACACUAUAGAUAUGAAACAUAGUCAUAGACAGAGAAUAGAAAUGUGUAUAGUGAAACACAGAUAGAGUAUAGACAGAGCAUAGAAAUGUGUAUAGUGAAACAUAGAUAGAGUAUAGACAGAGAAUAGAAAUGUGUAUAGUGAAACAUAGAUAGAGUAUAGACAGAGCAUAGAAAUGUGUAUAGUGAAACACAGAUAGAGUAUAGACAGAGAAUAGAAAUGUGUAUAGUGAAACAUAGAUAGAGUAUAGACAGAGAAUAGAAAUGUGUAUAGUGAAACAUAGAUAGAGUAUAGACAGAGAAUAGAAAUGUGUGGAGUGAAACACAGAUAUAGACAGAGCAUAGAAAUGUGUAUAGUGAAACACAGAUAGAGUAUAGACAGAGCAUAGAAAUGUGUAUAGUGAAACACAGAUAGAGUAUAGACAGAGCAUAGAAAUGUGUAGAGUGAAAUGUAGUUAUAGACAGAGCAUAGAAAUGUGUAUAGUGAAACAUAGAUAGAGUAUAGACAGAGAAUAGAAAUGUGUGGAGUGAAACACAGAUAUAGACAGAGCAUAGAAAUGUGUAUAGUGAAACACAGAUAGAUUAUAGACAGAGCAUAGAAAUGUGUAUAGUGAAACACAGAUAUAGAGAGA